UGGGGAAUAUUGCACAAUGGGCGAAAGCCUGAUGCAGCAACGCCGCGUGAGUGAUGAAGGUCUUCGGAUUGUAAAGCUCUGUCUUUUGGGACGAUAAUGACGGUACCAAAGGAGGAAGCCACGGCUAACUACGUGCCAGCAGCCGCGGUAAUACGUAGGUGGCGAGCGUUGUCCGGAUUUACUGGGCGUAAAGGGUGCGUAGGCGGAUGUUUAAGUGAGAUGUGAAAUACCCGGGCUUAACUUGGGUGCUGCAUCUCAAACUGGAUAUCUAGAGUGCAGGAGAGGAGAAUGGAAUUCCUAGUGUAGCGGUGAAAUGCGUAGAGAUUAGGAAGAACACCAGUGGCGAAGGCGAUUCUCUGGACUGUAACUGACGCUGAGGCACGAAAGCGUGGGUAGCAAACAGGAUUAGAUACCCUGGUAGUCCACGCCGUAAACGAUGAGUACUAGGUGUAGGAGGUAUCGACCCCUUCUGUGCCGCAGUAAACACAUUAAGUACUCCGCCUGGGAAGUACGAUCGCAAGAUUAAAACUCUAAAGUGAAUUGACGGGGUC
This 551-nucleotide ribosomal RNA is filed under the name uncultured bacterium. RNAcentral describes it as "partial 16S ribosomal RNA". It matches the Rfam family "Bacterial small subunit ribosomal RNA", at positions 355 to 920 of the family's 1533-position model. The record is from RNAcentral.